This 108-nucleotide small nuclear RNA is filed under the name Zootermopsis nevadensis. RNAcentral's name for it is "U5 spliceosomal RNA". It matches the Rfam family "U5 spliceosomal RNA". Rfam says of the family: U5 RNA is a component of both types of known spliceosome. Lineage: Eukaryota; Metazoa; Arthropoda; Insecta; Blattodea; Termopsidae. The record is from RNAcentral.
ACACUCUGGUUUCCCUUCAAUACGCAUAAAUCUUUCGCCUUUUACCAAAGAUUUCCGCGGAGGGGAACAUAUGAUGAGUCUUUAAAUAAUAAUAAUUAUUAUUAUUAU